RNAcentral lists this transfer RNA (73 nucleotides) under Anaerovibrio lipolyticus. It matches the Rfam family "tRNA". Rfam says of the family: Transfer RNA (tRNA) molecules are approximately 80 nucleotides in length. Lineage: Bacteria; Bacillati; Bacillota; Negativicutes; Selenomonadales; Selenomonadaceae. The record is from Rfam by way of RNAcentral.
GGGCGCUUAGCUCAGCUGGGAGAGCGUCUGCCUUACAAGCAGAAUGUCAGCGGUUCGAGCCCGUUAGCGCCCA